This is a long non-coding RNA of Brassica oleracea var. oleracea, 1300 nucleotides long. RefSeq lists it as uncharacterized. The record is from RefSeq and is a predicted model, not a curated record. The transcript has 5 exons. Lineage: Eukaryota; Viridiplantae; Streptophyta; Magnoliopsida; Brassicales; Brassicaceae.
UCUCUUUUCCGUCUCCAACGCUAAUGGCGAUUGGGGUUUCUAAUACGCUCUUUCAUCUUCUUCUUCACUGUCUGAAACGAUACAUGUAACGGAGUCAUCCUCUUUAAACCCUCAAACGAUCACCCACAAUCUACAUUCAAUGCGACAAUCCCCAAAUCUCGCCUUACGUAAAUCACAAUUCUAGCGUUCUUCAUAUUAGGUCAAUCCAAAUCGGAUCGUAAGAUUUCACCACAUCUGUUCUGAACUUAGAAAGAUGUCUCAGAACGGGAAGAUGGUCCCACCAAAUAUGGAUCAGAACAGUACAAGGCUACUUAAUCUCACAGGUCUCCAGUGAAUCGAUCCUUUCAUCGAGGAGAUCCUUAUCACAACAGCUCAUGUUACCUUCUAUGAAUUCAACAUUGAGAUCAGUCAAUGGAGUCGUAAGGAUGUUGUCAAAAGAAGUAAACAACAACCUCGGUUUCAGUUUAUUGUAAUGAAUCGUUGGAACACAGAUAUUCUGGUGGAAGAUCUCCUCAGAGAUUUUGAGCAUGAAGUCCAAGGUCCAUAUUUACUUUAUCGUAACACAUCUCAAGAAGUAAAUGGCAUUUGGUUCUACAAUGAACGUGCAUAUGAGGAGGUUGCACGUCUUUUUGACGGGUACAUAUAUACACAUCACGUUGAAACUGAUUUUUGUGAUUGGAUAAUCGCGAAAAUAAAACUAGCUCCAUGACUCCAUCAUCAUACAGUUUAUACUCUCCUGUUGCAAUCCAUGACUGAACUCUCAAGUCCAAAAGAUGUUGAUGCUAGAACCGCUUGGUCACAGUGCAAUUUGAAGGAUCGAUCCUAGGUCAAUCUUAACUUCGAUACCUAUGUCUUUAUUUCAUUGUCUUCAAAAGAUGAUAUACUGACUCUUCUUAUGUCAUGUAUCUAAUUAUCUCAUUGAUUAUCACAUUAAAGACCAGCUAACUUCGUCUGCUUGGUUUUUAUAUUCAAAAGUGCCUUCUCAGAUCAAUGAAAACAUUUUUGGUUUGUUUAUGGUCACUGUAGUUCCUGCUGGGCAUAUGGUGUUGUAGAAGCAUUGGCUAACAGGUUCUGCAUCAAAUAUAAUAUGGUUUCACAAGUUUUUAAAAAAUACAAACAUUGAUUAUUGCUAGCAUUUUUCUCUCCGAAAGAUUAAUAUGGUUUCUUAUGUUCCCAUGACAGAAUGUUUCUUUAUCCGUCAAUAAUAUCGUACCAACUUAUGGAUUCCUUUGUGGUCAAGGCUGUAAUGAAAUUUUGGAUCCUAAUGGUAAACUGAUUGUCAUCUAUAGACUGUCAUAAC